UGAUGAAGGUUUUCGGAUCGUAAAANUNUGUUGUUNGGGAAGAACAAGUNCCGUUCGAAUAGGGNGGUNCCUUGACGGUACCUAACCAGAAAGCCACGGNUAANUNCGUGCCAGCAGCCGCGGUAAUACGUAGGUGGCAAGCGUUGUCCGGAAUUNUUGGGCGUAAAGCGCGCGCAGGCGGUUUCUUAAGUNUGAUGUGAAAGCCCCCGGNUCANCCGGGGAGGGUCAUUGGAAACUGGGGAACUUGAGUGCAGAAGAGGANAGUGGAAUUCCACGUGUAGCGGUGAAAUGCGUANAGAUGUGGAGGAACACCAGUGGCNAAGGCNACUCUCUGGUCUGUAACUGACGCUGAGGCGCGAAAGCGUGGGGAGCGAACAGGAUUANAUACCCNGG
Molecule: ribosomal RNA, 393 nt
Filed under: Bacillus licheniformis
Lineage: Bacteria; Bacillati; Bacillota; Bacilli; Caryophanales; Bacillaceae
Description: partial 16S ribosomal RNA
Rfam family: Bacterial small subunit ribosomal RNA
Source: RNAcentral